This 71-nucleotide transfer RNA is filed under the name Cordylochernes scorpioides. RNAcentral describes it as "tRNA-Gly". The record is from RNAcentral. Lineage: Eukaryota; Metazoa; Arthropoda; Arachnida; Pseudoscorpiones; Chernetidae.
UGCAUCGGCCGAGAAUCGAACCCGGGCCGCCCGAGUGGCAGGUGAGCAUUCUACCACUGGACCACCGAUGG